UUCAGCCCACCGGUUUAUGAAGCUUGAGUUUUGUUGGCAGCUCUGGACUACAACUUCCAUCGUGACAGGCCAAUGCUCACAACAGAGGGCCAACAAAUUUUCAGACGGACAUAUAACAAAAAUGCCAGGAGGUACAGCCUGUAUGCUGCAAAGGCGCAGAAGACCUACGACUACAUCCCAAAUCUGCAAGGGAGAAUUGUUGAGCAACGACUCAGCAGCGGGGUUGGAAUGCCCAGGACCAGGACACUUCGACCUGACGACCCUAGGAGACUUGGCGUUGUGCCCCCAGUCCCUCUACCAACGAUGUCAGAGCUUGUGCAGACACAAGUCAGCCGAGGUCUUGCUUCUGCUUUCCAGGCAGCUGCUGAUGACGACCAAUGAUGUACUUCAUGACCACCUCCAUCCUGAUGUGAAUUUUUUUUUUUUUUACCUUUACAUUUAUUGUUGGGAGAAUCGUUCUUUUCUUGACUUUUUUAUGAAUGUAUGUAUAUUCUGUAUAUAAAAACAGCACUGACAAAGUGUUAUCUUUCUUUUUUUAUUGCUAAAAGAAAUAGAAAUUGCACUGCAUUACAAUGUAACUUGUACAAACUGUUCAAAAACAAAAGUCUAACUAUUUACAGUAAAAAUAAACCAAAUAUUUUAAAUUAAAAAGUCUGUCAAAUAUCUGAAUUAUCUAUUUACAAGUACAAAUGAAAAAUCAAUUAAAUAGGGGGUAUGAAUCCAGCAUAUUGCCCGUGGGGAUCAGGGAACUUGUCCCUGAUCUUCCAGACACAACAGCUCGGAAUGACCCUCCUGUUGCCCUGCCCCAAGGACCCAUGCUGCCAAAAUAUGUAGUGGCGGUAGGCAGCAUACCGGAAUUCUCUGUUAUCGUUCCCCGGCUCUCUAAUGGCACCUAGCCUAGUCACAUCUUCCCGGUACUGCCUGUGCACCCUGAGGUAUGCUGGAUCAAGGCAAAACUGUAAAAAGUGUCUAAGUGCACUUGAACAAUUCUGAGGGUCCUGUCCACAGCACUGCUUCUCCCGGUCGGUUGGCAUUUCCCGACAAUUCCCACAACUGCACCAAGGCACCACUGGUGAACCUGCAGGAGAUGGGGCACCAUGCCUGUUCCGCCACCGCUGCAGGACAUCAAAGACCAGGCCUGGUUGAUACUCGAGGAUCUCAGAUGUGAAACUGCGGAAAUCAUCCAGUGUCAUCUCCUGCAGUGCUGCCUGCAGAAAUAACAGGGAAUUUAGGUUUAUACUGCCUAAGCCAUUGUAAAAUACAUUGUGAAGGAAGUCAGAGAAAUAUGGAUUAUUGGAGGUCGGGUAGAGUAGAGUAGAGUAGAGUAACUUUAUUGAUCCCCAGGGGGAAAUGCAGGUAUCCAGUAGCUUACAUAAAUACACAAAAGGUAAUGGAAGCAAAUGCAUUUGCUGCAGGAAGAGUGCU
Molecule: long non-coding RNA, 1425 nt
Organism: Engraulis encrasicolus (European anchovy)
Lineage: Eukaryota; Metazoa; Chordata; Actinopteri; Clupeiformes; Engraulidae
Exons: 3
Source: RefSeq, a predicted model, not a curated record